CACGUGUAGCGGUGAAAUGCGUAGAGAUGUGGAGGAACACCAGUGGCGAAGGCGACUCUCUGGUCUGUAACUGACGCUGAGGAGCGAAAGCGUGGGGAGCGAACAGGAUUAGAUACCCUGGUAGUCCACGCCGUAAACGAUGAGUGCUAAGUGUUAGGGGGUUUCCGCCCCUUAGUGCUGCAGCUAACGCAUUAAGCACUCCGCCUGGGGAGUACGGUCGCAAGACUGAAACUCAAAGGAAUUGACGGGGGCCCGCACAAGCGGUGGAGCAUGUGGUUUAAUUCGAAGCAACGCGAAGAACCUUACCAGGUCUUGACAUCCUCUGACGAUCCUAGAGAUAGGACGUCCCCUUCGGGGGCAGAGUGACAGGUGGUGCAUGGUUGUCGUCAGCUCGUGUCGUGAGAUGUUGGGUUAAGUCCCGCAACGAGCGCAACCCUUGAUCUUAGUUGCCAGCAUUCAGUUGGGCACUCUAAGGUGACUGCCGGUGACAAACCGGAGGAAGGUGGGGAUGACGUCAAAUCAUCAUGCCCCUUAUGACCUGGGCUACACACGUGCUACAAUGGACAGA
Molecule: ribosomal RNA, 568 nt
Filed under: Bacillus subtilis
Lineage: Bacteria; Bacillati; Bacillota; Bacilli; Caryophanales; Bacillaceae
Description: bacterial SSU rRNA
Rfam family: Bacterial small subunit ribosomal RNA
Source: RNAcentral